CCAGACUCCUACGGGAGGCAGCAGUGGGGAAUAUUGGGCAAUGGGCGCAAGCCUGACCCAGCAACGCCGCGUGAAGGAAGAAGGCUUUCGGGUUGCAAACUUCUUUUAUCAGGGACGAAGCAAGUGACGGUACCUGAUGAAUAAGCCACGGCUAACUACGUGCCAGCAGCCGCGGUAAUACGUAGGUGGCGAGCGUUAUCCGGAUUUAUUGGGUUUAAAGGGUGCGUAGGCGGGCAUUUAAGCCGGCGGUCAAAUGUCGGGGCUCAACCCCGGCCUGCCGUCGGAACUGGGUGCCUUGAGUGGGCGAGAAGUAUGCGGAAUGCGUGGUGUAGCGGUGAAAUGCAUAGAUAUCACGCAGAACCCCGAUUGCGAAGGCAGCAUACCGGCGCCCUACUGACGCUGAGGCACGAAAGUGCGGGUAUCGAACAGGAUUAGAUACCCCUGUA
Molecule: ribosomal RNA, 446 nt
Filed under: uncultured bacterium
Lineage: Bacteria
Description: bacterial SSU rRNA
Rfam family: Bacterial small subunit ribosomal RNA
Source: RNAcentral